ACAACAUUGGGAUGUGGCUCCAGCAUUUUCAUGACUUGCAGCUCCUGCACCAGAUCUGAGCGCUCCUUAUCUGAUGCAUUCUCUUUCAGCGUCUUCACAGCCACCACCGUAGUGCCUUCCCGCCCUUCAUUCAUAAAUGUUUGAGUCCCGGUCCCAGCCCUCGUAGCGAUUGCUGUGGGCACGGGGACCCUGCCACUGCUGCAGCACCAUAGGCUCCUCCAACCCGAUGCCACCGGAUGACUCCUUGUGCUACAACAACCAAAGACUAUCAGAUUUACUGCAGACUCGUUCCUUCAUUUAGCUUCAUAUUAACAAGAUAAAUAUUUAAAGACUUUUUUAAACAAUUUUGGUUGUUCUAUAUUUAUGUAUGGAGGAUAUGUUUGAUAAUAAUACUUAAUGUAACAGGGAUCUGUAGAAAGAUCUAUAUGGUGUCAAUGGUUAUAAAAAGUGUGUGUACUUGC
Molecule: non-coding RNA, 461 nt
Organism: Zootermopsis nevadensis
Lineage: Eukaryota; Metazoa; Arthropoda; Insecta; Blattodea; Termopsidae
Source: RefSeq, a predicted model, not a curated record